Molecule: non-coding RNA, 185 nt
Organism: Paramormyrops kingsleyae
Lineage: Eukaryota; Metazoa; Chordata; Actinopteri; Osteoglossiformes; Mormyridae
Source: RefSeq, a predicted model, not a curated record
GUCUUACGUAACGCGUCGUUAUGGUCGAUAAGUCUUUGCGUCGGCAGCAAAGCAGCAGGAAACAAUACUGGGAUGUUAGAUCCAUCCAGGUCAAUUGACUGAGGCAGUGAAAAGCAUUUAUUAACAAAGCAGCUUGAACCCCAGUCAGACGUCCCCCUGCAGGGCUGUGACCAGCUGCAGCAUGG